UACGAAGGGGGCUAGCGUUGUUCGGAAUUACUGGGCGUAAAGCGCGCGCAGGCGGUCCUUCCAGUCAGAGGUGAAAGCCCAGAGCUCAACUCUGGAACUGCCUUUGAAACUAGAGGACUUGGGUACGGGAGAGGUGAGUGGAAUUCCGAGUGUAGAGGUGAAAUUCGUAGAUAUUCGGAAGAACACCAGUGGCGAAGGCGGCUCACUGGCCCGUUACCGACGCUCAGGCGCGACAGCGUGGGGAGCAAACAGG
This 253-nucleotide ribosomal RNA is filed under the name uncultured bacterium. RNAcentral's name for it is "partial 16S ribosomal RNA". It matches the Rfam family "Bacterial small subunit ribosomal RNA", at positions 524 to 776 of the family's 1533-position model. The record is from RNAcentral. RNAcentral also lists the same sequence under 1 other name.